UGAGAUGACCUGGCCUCCACCCGACCUCAACCCAAUUGAGAUGGUUUGGGAUGAGUUGGACUGCAGAGUGAAGGAAAAGCAAAGUCAAAUAUUUAAAUGAUCCUUUGUAUGACCAUCUUACAACCAGGCCAAGCUGAGUAUGCAUGACCGGGCUCUGAAGGUGUCAGCAGUGGUAGAAAGUCUGGAGAGGGAGAUGGAGCUUCUGUGUUUGACUGGGGUUGAGGUCGACAUCAGGCCAACCCUGGAGCUCCUCAGCAAUGCUGGAAUCAAACUGUGAACGUACUGUUCAUGUUGGCUGCAUUUAUAUUGUGCUGUUGUUUCCAUGUACAGUAUAAUGUUAGCUGUGAAAAAGAGGCACUCCAUAGAAUUUGACUGGUCCUUGUAUAAUAUGAAAUGCUGCAAGAUGGUCCUUUGCGGAUACUCUGUCCCUGAUUCCUUGUCAUGGUUUUGUUUUCUGUUCAGAUAUGGAUGCUUUACUGGGGAUAAGCUGGAGACAGCUACUUGUAUCACUAAAAGCUCCCAUUUGGUGUCCAGAAAUGAAGAUUGGCACGUUUCUCUUUCUUUUUAAUGUUAAAAUAAUAAUCUCUCACUUUAUGAGUGUUUAAAGGGAUGAGGAAAUGGUCUUGUAUCUGUCCUUCCACUGAUUGUGUUGCCGGGCUCUCGAGCAGGUCUCCAACGGUGGAGAGGCCCAUCUGGAGCUCAAUGCCUUCAGAAGGAAACACGACUGUGCUCUGGUCAUCUCUGGAGACUCCUUGGCGGUACUACAACACAACACACUUCUCACAAGCCUCUCAAGAUGGUACUGUAGAUGCAGCCAAAAAUAUUCUGGUGUCAAAACUAAAACCUUUUGAGUCCAAAACCGCAAGAAGAGCAAAACAAACUACAUUUUAUCACUGUUGAUCUGAAGAGAUGGUACAGUAAGUAAUAUGUGAAUGUGCUUGUGGGUCCAGAUGUGUUUGCAUUUUCCAAAUCCAUAUGUUUAUCUUCCCACAUAGUCUGCGGGACUAUGAGCAUGAGUUUGUGGAACUGGCGUGUCAGUGUCCAGCGGUAGUCUGCUGUCGCUGCUCCCCCACUCAGAAAGCCCAGAUCGUCCACCUGCUCAAGCAGCACACAGCCAACAGAACCUGCUCCACCUAUGGCACAGGUUUUGUAACAACUAACCACUCUCAUCCUUUGAGACACAGACCUGCUACAAUGAUCUGUGUACAAUGAAUGCCAAAUUAUAAAAUAGAUUGUAGAAAAUGCCUACCAGUAAUAUACCUGUAUCUCACUAUUGACUACUUUGUUUUGAAAAUGAAGAAACUAGACCCAGUAUGAGAAGGUUAGAAGGCUAUUAUGUCCACAAUCAAAGAGCAUAAGCAUCUCUGUUAACAUUGUUUUGUCCUGGGGCAUAAGCCUUAUCUCCAUAUUGCUCUUUUACAUGCUAUUAUUGAACCUGUGGCUGACAUGUGGCUCUCUUUCUCUCCCAUGUGAUGGAGGUAAUGAUGUCAAUAUGAUCCAGGCAGCAGACUGUGGUAUUGGUAUUGAAGGAAAGGAGGAGAAGCAGGCACCCCUGACUGAAGAUUUCUUCAUCACUCAGUUUUUAAGCACAUUGGUCUGCUGCUCGUGGUCCACGGCAGGAACAGCUACAAGCGCUCAGCAGCCCUGGGCCAGUUUGACAAGCACAGAGGCAUUUGUUAAUCAGUAUUUACCAGAGGGUUGACAGGAUACUCCUGUAGCUUUCUGAGUUAGAUUUCCUUAACACAGUUCUAAUGAUGAAUACUAACACACAGGGAAGGGUGCUAAGAAACAUAAUGGAUAUUAGGAAUAUAACAGGUGUUGGCCAGGUGCACAAACUCUUAUAUCCAAAGGAUCCAUCCUCACAGUAUGGCAGCUUUCCUGAAAGCAAUCUGAAUGACGCGCAGCAUAGUGGCUAAACCACAUUUUUAUUACUCACUGUUUGUCCAGGCAACACACUUCUAUUUCAUCAUUUUUACUAUGUGCAAAACUUCAGUCCACUGUCCCCUGACUCUCAGACAGUCCUGUUUCUCAGUAGCUUAGGUUACCAAGAGUCAUCCACAGUUACAUCCAGACUUUUGUCUGUUCUGUAAAUCAAUAUUUCUGUAAUCACUAAGCCAUGCAGCGUGUUGAAAAAUAUCUUAUGUUCCUACUGAAGUGUACCUUCCUGACAGCUUUCGUUUUUUAAUUAAAGGCCUAAUACCAUUGAAAAACAGGCCAACCCCGUGUCUCCAGACUUACUGGACUGUCUGGUGUCUCAAUGAAUAACAGACUUUCAGUGAGCAUUGAAGGGGCAGCAGGUAGGGUAGGGACGUUGGGCCAGUAACCGAAAGGUUGCUGGAUCGAAUCCCUGUGCUGACAAUGUAAAAAUCUGUCCUUCUGCCCCAGAGCAAGGUAGUUAACCCACUGUUCCCUGGGCGCUGAUGAUGUGGAUGUUAAGGCAGCCUCCCGCACCUCUGAUUCAGAGGGGUUUGGUUAAAUGCGGAUGGCACAUUUCAGUUAAAUGCAUUCAGUUGUACAACUGACUAGGUAUCCCUCUUUCCCCAUUGGGGAUCAAAGUAACUUAAAAUAAAUAAACCAAAAUGUACAUAUUUCGUCCCCUAAAAGAAUAAACCAAUUAAUUGUAUUUUUAGGUCUUAUCAUCAUUAACUAGAAACAAAUUGAUUUUAGUUGAUUACUAGAAUACAUUCUAGUUGAACCAUUCUCUAGUUUCUUUCUCAAGCUGAUUAAACAGUUACUCAACCGCUACUACGUCAAUAACACUUCUUUGAGGCAUCCCCAGGUGGCAUCCUGAUGUACGGUGCACUGCUGUUGUUUGAGUCGGAGCUUGUACACGUGGUGGCCAUCUCCUUCACUGCGCUGAUCCUCACCGAGCUGCUCAUGAUGGCGCUCAACAUUUGUACCUGGCUCAUGGUGCUAGCAGAGUUCCUCAGUCUAGGCUGCUACAUAGCCUCGCUUGCCUUCCACAACGAGUACUUAGCCUUCCUGUGGAAGCUGUCAGUGAUCCCCGUCGUCAGCUGUCUUCCUCUCUAUAUCAUCAAAUACCUGAAGCGCAAGUUCUCACCACCCAGCUACUCUAAGCUGUCCUCAUAGCCAUUUUAAGCUCUGUCCUACUUACACGCUUCCUCAAAUUAUUUUUCUUAGUCUCUCUACAAUCCUUCUUUUCAGCGCUUCUUUCUGAUCCACAGUAAAGGGAAACUAAAGAGGUCAAGGAACCACUAGAAGCAAAAACAUGAUGAGAAAAUGUUCUGAAUUUGUCACUGGAAUGUGGUAAUACUUGAAAUGACUGUGUAAGCACAAAACCAAAAAGGGACUGAGGGAAGAUGUAAAAACAGAACAAAUUGCCCUUUGAUGCACUGGACAGGAUCGUUUGGGUCAAUUUGCCUUCUGUUUUAAAUUGUUUAUAACUCGAUGACUAUGCUUUCCGCAUUUAACUUUUUGUAUGUUUUUUAUUAUUAUUAUUAUUAUUAUUUUAUUACAUUGAACAUUACUGAGUAGAGAUACUAGUAUGGUGGUUUAAUUUGGAUUUCUAUUUGUGUUGUGAUUCCCAAGCACUGUAAAUACCAACUUAGCAUGUACAGCGUUUUACUACUGUACCCUGACACUUAACUGUACUUACCUAGGGAAAAGUCCAUGACUGGAACGAAUUGCAAAAAUCUCUGAAGCUGGAGACUCACAUCUACCUCACUAGCGUUAAGCACCAGCUGUCAGA
This is a long non-coding RNA of Oncorhynchus mykiss (rainbow trout), 3709 nucleotides long. RefSeq lists it as uncharacterized. NCBI's taxonomy places the organism in Eukaryota, Metazoa, Chordata, Actinopteri, Salmoniformes, Salmonidae. The record is from RefSeq and is a predicted model, not a curated record.